AUGCUUGCUUCAUCCUCCCCUCCCCCCACGAGCCCCCAGCUCUCUCUCCUGCAGCCCCAGGCAGGUUCUUGGUGGACUUGCCCCCGCCCCCGACCACCUCAGCUGCCCUUAAGCUCUUCAGACCUCAGGGGUCUUGGGAAUGGGGAGGAGGGUGGCAGCCAGAAGCUGGGCCACGGAGUCCAAACAUCUGAAGGCGUCCCUGAAAACUCCGUAGCCUUUCUGUCUCCUCUGUGUCUCCUGGCAUCCCACCUGCAUGGGGUGCCGUCCAGCACUGCAUGGGCCAGAGGCCCCUCCUGUCCCCUUCCCACGGCUGCUCGUCCUGUUCCGUGUGCGGCUCCCCACCCCCCGCCGCCCAUCACCCCUCAUGCCAGAGCGGGUCUCGGCUCUGCCACAACAGUUCCAUCUCCGGGACCCCCCAAGACUGGUCCCCAGCCCCCUCCACAUGCAUGUCACUGCAGGAUUCUGCUGCGAGCUUCUCCUCCUCCCCGUGUGACCUCCCGCGCCUCCUGGUACCCUCUCUACCCGCUUGCAGAGAUCAGUCUGCUUCUUCAUCAUGGUCCAGAUCUUUUCCCAAAAGAUUCCUCCAUGCUUUUCUUUUCAAAAGGGAAAAAAAAAGGAAAAAAAAAACAAUGCCAACAACCCAGCGUCUGUGAGCAACCCAACAGUAACAAAGCGUGUGUUCGGGAAGGAGGAAGAACUACAGCGAGAGGGAAGCAUCGAGACUCUGAGUAACAGCUCAGGUUCCACCAGCGGCAGCAUCCCAAGAAACUUCGACGGCUACCGAUCUCCGCUGCCCACCAAUGAGAGUCAGCCCCUCAGCCUCUUCCCUACCGGCUUCCAGUAGGUACCAGCGACCUGCUUCUGACUGGCCGGCGCACUCACCUGCUGGAGGGAAGCGGGAGAAGCCCUCCACUGGUCUUCCCCUUCAGACUCUGCUCCUCUCUUACCAACCACCCUCCCAAGCUUAGUGACAACAGCCGCUCACCCUCCCUGGAUGAGAAGAGACCCUUCUCCGCAGCGCCUCGGCGCACUCUGACCUGUGCCCCCAUCAGCGGGGCUGUGGCCUGGAGAGACUCUGCAGCAACUCCGUCCCCUCCUCCGUUGCACACGAUGUCCCGCCCGCACUGGAUCUGCUUUUGUAUUUUCUAACCAAACCCUCGGGGUGGGGGGGUGCGUGGGGGGCAGGUCUGGGUGGGGAGAGGGUGGAUGGCCCCGCGGGCACUUUGACCCCAAGUGGGCAGCCCCGGCCCGCUCCUGGCUUUGGCACUCGCUGCCCAGCUUCCCUUGGCCAAGCUCCCCUGGCGAGGGGGUGAGCUGAGGCCCAGAGUAUUUGGGAAGGAGGAAGGAAGGAGAAGCCCCCUUCCCCCUUGGCUGCUGGAAAGGAUUUGUCUUUCUUGUCUGUAAGCCCUUGCACCCUGGUCCUGUGCUGUUCAGUGGAGGAAACCGUGGUUACCCAGGUCCUGUCAAAAAGUGCACGUCUCGUCCAAUAAAUCACGCUGCAAUUGGUGUCCA
RNAcentral lists this long non-coding RNA (1512 nucleotides) under Sus scrofa (pig). RNAcentral's name for it is "lncRNA (ENSSSCG00065055161.1)". The record is from RNAcentral. Lineage: Eukaryota; Metazoa; Chordata; Mammalia; Artiodactyla; Suidae.